UGAAAUAAACCUGAUGAGUUGCUGCUGGUUCUCUAGGGAGCAUGUGCACGCUCGUCAUCUUUAUAUCUCCACCUGUGCACCUUUUGUAGACCUGGAUAUGUCUCUCUCUCUCUGAGUGCUAGUCACUCAGGUUUUGAGGAUUGACUGACUCCAGGCCUAUGUUUAUUCAUAUACCCCAAUGUAUGUCCUAGAAUGUAAUCAAUAUAGGCCUUUGUGCCUAUAAAUCUAUACAACUUUCAGCAACGGAUCUCUUGGCUCUCGCAUCGAUGAAGAACGCAGCGAAAUGCGAUAAGUAAUGUGAAUUGCAGAAUUCAGUGAAUCAUCGAAUCUUUGAACGCACCUUGCGCUCCUUGGUAUUCCGAGGAGCAUGCCUGUUUGAGUGUCAUUAAUAUAUAUCAACCUCUCUUCAGCUUUUGCUUGUUGAGUGUUGKAUGUGGGGGGGGGGAAAGGAAAGUUUCCCAUUGCUGCUGGCCUUUAGCAGGKCAGCUCCCCUGAAAUGCAUUAGCGGAACAAUUUGUGGAUCCCGUUCAUUGGUGUGAUAAACUAUCUACGCUAUUGACGUGAAGCAGGUUCAGCUUCUAACCGUCCAUUCACUUGGACAGCUCUUUCAUUAAUGUGACCUCAAAUCAGGUAGGACUACCCGCUGAACUUAAGCAUAUCAAUAAG
This 666-nucleotide ribosomal RNA is filed under the name uncultured Cortinarius. RNAcentral's name for it is "eukaryotic LSU rRNA". The record is from RNAcentral. Lineage: Eukaryota; Fungi; Basidiomycota; Agaricomycetes; Agaricales; Cortinariaceae.